GACGAACGCUGGCGGCGUGCUUAACACAUGCAAGUCGAACGGCAAGGCCCUGCUUUUGUGGGGUGCUCGAGUGGCGAACGGGUGAGUAACACGUGAGUAACCUGCCCUUGACUUUGGGAUAACUUCAGGAAACUGGGGCUAAUACCGGCUAGGAGCUCCUGCUGCAUGGUGGGGGUUGGAAAGUUGCGGCGGUUGGGGCUGGACUCGCGGCUUAUCAGCUUGUUGGUGGGGUAGUGGCUUACCCAGGCUUUGACGGGUAGCCGGCCUGAGAGGGGGACCGGCCACCUGGGGACUGAGAGACGGCCCAGACUCCUACGGUAGAUAGCAGUGGGGAAUAUUGCACAAUGGGCGGAAGCCUGAUGAAGCAACGCCCGGUGCGGGAUGACGGCCUGCGGGUUGUAAACCGCUUUCGCCUGUGACGAAGCGGGAGUGACGGUAAUGGGUAAAGAAGCACCGGCUAACUACGUG
RNAcentral lists this ribosomal RNA (468 nucleotides) under uncultured bacterium. Its description in RNAcentral is "partial 16S ribosomal RNA". It matches the Rfam family "Bacterial small subunit ribosomal RNA", at positions 28 to 507 of the family's 1533-position model. The record is from RNAcentral.